CACGUAGUUAGCCGUGGCUUAUUCGACAGGUACCGUCUUCUGCUCUUCCCUGUCAAAAGAAGUUUACAACCCGAAAGCCUUCUUCCUUCACGCGGCGUUGCUGGGUCAGGCUUGCGCCCAUUGCCCAAUAUUCCCCACUGCUGCCUCCCGUAGGAGUCUGGGCCGUAUCUCAGUCCCAAUGUGGCCGGCCAACCUCCCAGUCCGGCUACUGAUCGUCGCCUUGGUAGGCCGUUACCCUACCAACUAGCUAAUCAGACGCGAGGCCAUCUCUCAGCGAUAAAUCUUUGGUACCAGUACCAUGCGAUACCCGUACGUUAUGCGGUAUUAGCAGUCGUUUCCAACUGUUGUCCCCCUCUGAAAGGCAGGUUCCUCACGCGUUACUCACCCGUCCGCCACUAAGUAGUCCUCUCCAUUGACCGAAAUCUCUUUCGAGGGUACUCCGUUCGACUUGCAUGUGUUAAGCACGCCGCCAGCGUUCGUCCUGAGCCAGGAUCAAACUCU
This 501-nucleotide ribosomal RNA is filed under the name uncultured Oscillibacter sp. RNAcentral describes it as "partial 16S ribosomal RNA". Lineage: Bacteria; Bacillati; Bacillota; Clostridia; Eubacteriales; Oscillospiraceae. The record is from RNAcentral.